Long non-coding RNA from Penaeus chinensis, 554 nucleotides. RefSeq lists it as uncharacterized. The record is from RefSeq and is a predicted model, not a curated record. Lineage: Eukaryota; Metazoa; Arthropoda; Malacostraca; Decapoda; Penaeidae. The transcript is spliced from 3 exons.
GAGAGUGAAGCUCUUGACAUCGUGAAACUUCUGCUGGAGCGAGGAGCCACCGUGGACCAGCAGGAUAAUCUCGGCAAAAACUGCAACACGGUCGGAACGCCGGUCGGCACGUGCGUCUCGUCAGCUGAUUGCACACGUCUGAACACGUUACUGCCAGCUGAGAGUGUAAACAACAACACGACCAGAACGGCGAAUCUGCUCGUGAAUUUCGCUUGCGGCAGUGUGGAUGGUGUUAUCCAGGUGUGCUGUCCGCGAGAGUAAUGUCAUCCAUGUAAUCCCACUGAUGUCAUAUUUCCAUAAGAUAAGAUAGGAAAACAGAUAUAUGUUUCGGUGAAUUUUAGAACGUACAGUGAUCUGGCAGUAACUUUGUUGUUGAUGUCUGUGUGCUUAUAAGUGUUUUUUUUUUUUUUUUUUUCUAAGUGUGAAGUAAGAGGGAUAUGUAAUUUUGGUGUUAAUAUGAUAGCAAAAGGUGAUUGAUAAUAUGUAAUAUUACACACAUAAUAGUCAUAAUAUAUAUUUGUGUAUUUGUUUGUGUGUGUGUGUGUGUGUGUGUG